RNAcentral lists this non-coding RNA (148 nucleotides) under Chlorocebus sabaeus (green monkey). Lineage: Eukaryota; Metazoa; Chordata; Mammalia; Primates; Cercopithecidae. The record is from Rfam by way of RNAcentral.
GCCGGGUGCAGUGGUGUGUGCCUGUAAUCCUAGCUUCUUGGGAGGCUGAGGCAGGAGGAUGGCUUGAGCCUGGGAGUUGGAGGCUGCAGUGAGCGAUGAUCGCACCACCGCACUCCAGCCUGGGCAACACAGCCAGACUUCAUCUCUA